This 306-nucleotide long non-coding RNA is filed under the name Malus domestica (apple). RNAcentral describes it as "long non-coding RNA (MDOM_LNC018357)". Lineage: Eukaryota; Viridiplantae; Streptophyta; Magnoliopsida; Rosales; Rosaceae. The record is from RNAcentral.
GACCGGGUACGGGCAGCAGAUUCCAUACGUGAUGCCAUACGGGCCUGGAUACGGAGCACCCGGAUACCCGAUUCCGCCCCCACCGAUGUACAUUGGCAACCCGCCGGAGAUGUUCAGCGAUGAGAACCCUAAUGCCUGCUCAAUUAUGUGAAGAAAUUGCUGAAUUAAGAAGGGAUUAGAGUUAAUAAGAAGUUGAUAUGAAGAAGACCAAGAGAAGAAAAAACAAGAACUGUAAAUAAGAGAAUAGACAGGGGUAGAUGUGAGAUAAAUUUUGGUGGGGCGGGUUCGUCUCUGAACCGGUUUGGU